RNAcentral lists this ribosomal RNA (478 nucleotides) under uncultured bacterium. RNAcentral's name for it is "partial 16S ribosomal RNA". It matches the Rfam family "Bacterial small subunit ribosomal RNA", at positions 28 to 507 of the family's 1533-position model. The record is from RNAcentral.
GAUGAACGCUGGCGGCGUGCUUAACACAUGCAAGUCGAACGAGAAGUGGAGACGGAAACCUUCGGGCGGAAGACUUUAUUUCGAGUGGCGGACGGGUGAGUAACGCGUGGGUACCCUGCCUCAUACAGGGGGAUAACAGUUGGAAACGACUGUUAAUACCGCAUAAGACCACGGCACCGCAUGGUGCGGGGGUAAAAACUCCGGUGGUAUGAGAUGGACCCGCGUUCGAUUAGCCAGUUGGCGGGGUAACGGCCCACCAAAGCGACGAUCGAUAGCCGAUCUGAGAGGAUGACCGGCCACAUUGGGACUGAGACACGGCCCAAACUCCUACGGGAGGCAGCAGUGGGGAAUAUUGCACAAUGGGGGAAACCCUGAUGCAGCGACGCCGCGUGAGUGAAGAAGUAUUUCGGUAUGUAAAGCUCUAUCAGCAGGGAAGAAAAUGACGGUACCUGAGUAAGAAGCCCCGGCUAACUACGUG